This 353-nucleotide long non-coding RNA is filed under the name Malus domestica (apple). Its description in RNAcentral is "long non-coding RNA (MDOM_LNC021016)". Lineage: Eukaryota; Viridiplantae; Streptophyta; Magnoliopsida; Rosales; Rosaceae. The record is from RNAcentral.
UUAUCAUGGCGAUACCCUUGGUUAUCGCGGUAGUGUCCCUUACUCUUUUUACUAAAAUGAGACUGGUGAGGAUGUAAAUCUUUCCUUUUACCCUGAGAUUGAUAUGUCUGUUGACUUGGCAAAGUAUUAAGUAAGGCAGGGGGAGGCAUCGCUGCCAUUUGGAAGGUCAAGGUCUUCUCAUUUUGUUGGAUCUGGCUUUCACUCCCUACUUGCUGAUAAGGGGUGGUUGUGGGGGGUUUCCCUUGAUAUGUCAUUGCCUUGGCGGAGGCAUGGUUGUAAGCCUGUGCCAUCACCUCAGAGUAAGUCUUCCAAGUGUUGGCAUUGAUCAUGUACUCGAAGAAACAAUCACGUAG